AGAGCGAACGCUGGCGGCAGGCUUAACACAUGCAAGUCGAGCGGGCGUAGCAAUACGUCAGCGGCAGACGGGUGAGUAACGCGUGGGAACAUACCUUUUGGUUCGGAACAACACAGGGAAACUUGUGCUAAUACCGGAUAAGCCCUUACGGGGAAAGAUUUAUCGCCGAAAGAUUGGCCCGCGUCUGAUUAGCUAGUUGGUGAGGUAACGGCCCACCAAGGCGACGACGGGUAGCCGGCCUGAGAGGGCGACCGGCCACACUGGGACUGAGACACGGCCCAGACUCCUACGGGAGGCAGCAGUGGGGAAUAUUGCGCAAUGGGCGAAAGCCUGACGCAGCGACGCCGCGUGGGGGAUGAAGGCCUUCGGGUUGUAAACCCCUUUCAGCAGGGACGAAGCGAAAGUGACGGUACCUGCAGAAGAAGCGCCGGCUAACUACGCGCCAGCAGCCGC
RNAcentral lists this ribosomal RNA (453 nucleotides) under uncultured bacterium. RNAcentral's name for it is "SSU rRNA". It matches the Rfam family "Bacterial small subunit ribosomal RNA", at positions 26 to 518 of the family's 1533-position model. The record is from RNAcentral.